Mus musculus (house mouse) is the source of this 574-nucleotide long non-coding RNA. RefSeq annotates it as predicted gene, 33584. The record is from RefSeq and is a predicted model, not a curated record. NCBI's taxonomy places the organism in Eukaryota, Metazoa, Chordata, Mammalia, Rodentia, Muridae. The transcript has 3 exons.
AGAUGUAGCAUUAUUCCUGUAGGGAAUUAAUCUUCACUGUGGACUUCCUGAGCUUACUGUCACCUAGGAGACAGACCUCUGGGUAUGUCUAUGACGGCAUUUCUGGAGAAGUUUAUCUGAGACUUACAAUGACUGAGUGGAGGUGGCUGGGGUUCUAGACUGCGCACAAGGGAAAGGGGAGCGUCAGUAUUUCCUGGCCUCCAGACGUGAGGAGUGGCAGCUGUGUGUGCGUGCUGCCAGGACCUCUGUUACAGCUUCCUGGCCCUGAUGGACCUUCCUUCUGAACCUGAGAGUCGUUGAGAGUGCAUUCAUUCAUCGUGUUCCAGGUGUGUAAGAGGAGUGUGUGCUCGAGCCCCACUCUCCCUAAAGGACGGAAGCUCCGCACAGUCAGCACAAAUAUGAAGAAGACAAUACAACAUAAUUCUAAGGCUGCUCCUUGAACAUUUGAAAGAACAACGCAAGCAUAAAUUAUUUAGUGAGGUCUUCGUGUAUGAUAAUUAAACGAGAAAAGAAACACGUGUGUCAGGGGACAGCAGUGAUAAUCUGAAAGAAAAAUUUGGUGAAUAAAACUAAC